This 459-nucleotide ribosomal RNA is filed under the name uncultured bacterium. RNAcentral describes it as "partial 16S ribosomal RNA". It matches the Rfam family "Bacterial small subunit ribosomal RNA", at positions 338 to 795 of the family's 1533-position model. The record is from RNAcentral.
CCUACGGGAGGCAGCAGUGAGGAAUAUUGGUCAAUGGCCGAGAGCCUGAACCAGCCAAGUCGCGUGAGGGAAGACGGCCCUACGGGUUGUAAACCUCUUUUGUCGUGGAGCAAAGCGAACCACGUGUGGUUCCUUGAGUGUACCCCACGAAAAAGCAUCGGCUAACUCCGUGCCAGCAGCCGCGGUAAUACGGGGGUUGCGUGCGUUAUCCGGAUUUAUUGGGUGAAAGGGGUGGGCAGGGGGAGGUGCAAGUCAGCGGUCAAAUUGCGGGGCUAAACCCCGUACUGCCGUUGAAACUGCAGCCCUGGAGUGCGGGAGAGGUAAGCGGAAUGCGUGGUGUAGCGGUGAAAUGCGUAGAUAUCACGCAGAACUCCGAUUGCGAAGGCAGCAUACUGGAGGGCAACUGACGGUCAGGCACGAAAGCGUGGGUAUCGAACAGGAUUAGAUACCCGUGUAGUC